AGAGAGAGAGAGAGAGAGAGAGUGAGAGAGGAUUGUACGCGUGUGAGUAGGCCUGAAAGAUGCUGCUGAGUACGGGCUAAAUACCUUUGAGCAACAUUUGUAUUCUAAUUUAGUAAAUAAAUUAAACACUACACUGUUUUUUAUGGUUGGUUAACGUACUUAAACGGUACUAUUUAGUUAAAGACCAACGUUAAUAAUAUAUUGAUGUAAAGCGUAAAACAGAAAAACCAAAAUGAAAAUAAAGGUCAAGUUCUGUGUGUUUCCUAUAUUACAUAGGUAUAAGUGAUGCAAGAUAACAUUGUUAAGUUUGUGGCUGCGUGAUUCUGUGUUUUGGAUAAUUAUCAUACGAUAUGAUAUUCUUCACUGCAAACACGUUACUUUUUAUGACUUCUAUCCAUGCUGUUACAAGUACUAUCACCACGCUUUAGCAAUGAAGUAACAAGUGAGCGGCAAAACCGUAGUGUUGCCAUGACUACAGAAACUUAUACGGUAGCGAUGACUGAUCCACAAUUAGUAAACAACAAUAAUCAGAAUAACAGCACAGAAACCAGCAAUAACUAUAAUAAUAAUAACCACGAUAAUAAAAAUCAUAAUCACUAUGACGGAGAACCAAAAUAUAGACACAAAAAAUUUAAAAAAAUGGCAACGUGCCGACAUGUCAUUGAUGGUGUAAUCCCAGAUACAAAAACUCUUGGAAUAAAUGCAGAUACCUUCAAUAAUGCGAUUGAAACUCGCAAGUUAGGCUACGUUUGCCCAUAUUGUAAAAUUUCAUGCGCUAAGCCUAGCGUUCUUCAAAAACACAUUAGAGCUCAUACAAAUGAGAGGCCUUAUCCAUGCGUGCCUUGUGGAUUUGCCUUCAAAACAAAGUCUAAUCUUUAUAAACAUUGCAGAUCUAGAGCUCACACUCUUAAGAUGGAGGGCCCAGAUACUUCUAAGAUUAUGCAGACUUCUUCACAGUUAUCUGAGGACUCAGAUGUAAGCUUGUCAGAUGGUACAAGUAACGGCACGAACACUCCGCCACCUAUGCAAUUUAUGCCUUUGUUGUCUUACAACUCUAGUACUAGUAUGAGUUUCAAUUCUAAAAUUACAUCAAGUUCUAAAAAAUAUGACAAAAUUUACAAACCUAAGUUUCACACAGUAUUACAUGAUAAUUUUACAAUUGAAAAAUCACGUAGUGAUUUCUCAAAUAAUGAACGGCUACAUGGACAUAUAGAGAGCAUUAUCGAUGAUAAUGCAACAGUGGUCGAUCCGAAGUUACGUAAACUUCUGCAUCGUCAAAAUAGCCUUGCUGAACUAGUAGGCCAUGAGUCUGAAUAUUCUCGCAAGCGUUGUUUUAGUGAAUGUGUCAUAACUGAUUUCAACUCUGAACAGAUAUCUGAUUGUAAAGUAGUUUCGGAACCACAAAAGUCACCGGGGCCAUUAUUAGGUAAUACAAAGCUUAUUGAAGUCAUAAAACAACCGCGGCUUGAACAUGAACUAUCGCAAACAGUUCGACCUAAUUCACUGCAAAUGUUCGGUGGAGAGGUAAAAAUACUUGAUACCAAGGGAGAAAGAAAGACGAUGCGAAUUGAUUUACGACCAACUGAAAUGAAUUCAGGAUCAAAAUCUCAUAAUAAUUCUUCCCAGAAUCCUGAAACAGCUUCCAUUGUUGUGCGUUCAAGCCUACAUUCAGGUGGUACUAUGCUUCAUAAAAUCAUAAAUCCUGGAUCUCAAGUUAAUGAAGCUGAUUCUAUACCAACGACCAUCAACCUUUCAAGUAUUGCCCCAAAUAUUUCAACACCUAGUCUUGCCCCCAGCGUUUCGUGUUUAAGCUACCUCAAACAGCCGGCUAAGAUUUUUCAUGACGGUCGAAUGAUCCCUUAUGUACCAGGCAUACCAGGUCCUGAGAAUUUGUCAAUGCCAUUAGUUCCAGUUGAUGAACUGCAUAAUGAAAGUGCAACCGUUUCUAUUGAUACUAAUUAUUUCAAAAAAUUAGAAAUAUUAAAACCUUGCAGCUCAGAAAACGAUAUUAGUACUACCAAGUUUCUACGACCGAGUUCGUUACCACUUAAACCUGGAACAUUUACUCCAAAGCGCCAUCACGGUAUUACACCAAAUGCUCACACUCUAGCUCUUAUAAGCCCUGAAACGCCGAGACCAAAAAAAUCAUACGGCCAACUAUAUUUAAAUGGACAUGCUUACACUUACCUUGGUCUCAAAUGCUCAACUAAAUUAUUUUAUUGCACUCUCAAUCGACCUCAACCAAUGUAUGUUAGACAGCAGGAUGGCCUUUCAAUGUACUCCAAUUGGAAAAUAUGUAAAGAAGCAUUACCCUCACUUGAGCUAAAUCACUAUGACUCACGUCAUCGACCUGCUCGUUAUACUCUUGCUUAUACUCGUACAGAAGAUAUUCUCACGCAUUCAUCACAACGAAGACCAAAUACGCCUAUAAGCCCUGACAGCGGACUUGAAUGCGAUGGUCAGGAUAAAAGUAAGCGCAACAUUCUUAAGAUUUUUUCUGGCGGCUUUGAAAGUAAUGAAGAUUAUACAUAUGUACGAGGUAGAGGUCGUGGUCGCUAUGUUUGUGAAGAAUGCGGAAUUAGAUGUAAAAAGCCCUCUAUGUUAAAAAAACACAUACGAACACACACUGAUGUGCGGCCAUAUACGUGCAAGUACUGUGCAUUUAGUUUUAAAACCAAGGGGAAUUUAACCAAGCACAUGAAAUCUAAGACUCAUUAUAAAAAAUGUGUAGAUCUGAAGAUAUUACCAGUGCCAACAAAUGUCGAAGAAAGUAAUAUCGAUAAGGAUGCUUUAAGUCAAGUAACUUUUGCUGGAGUCAAUAUCGACGAAAUAUCUUCAUCCGAAGAAGACAGUGAGCAUGAAGCAGAAAUUGAAAGUGAUGAAUCUGGUUGUGAGGAGCAUGAGGCUGCUAAAAGUUUAUUACAGCUUGCAAUACCACAACUGUCUGGCUUAUUAUCAACUGCUCGUCCUGCUACCUAUCCCUAUAGUCAUAUUGAAACCAUCGAUCAUAUACCCGAAGCUUACUCUAGAAUAAGUGUUAUUCGUACGUGUAAAGGUUCAGAUGAAUCUAAUUUGGCUAAGCCAAUGGAUCUUACAACGAAACAGAUCGAAAUGAAAAUAGAGAAAGAAAUUACAUCACAGAUCAAAUUACCAUCAGAAGUUCUAUUAGCACAAAGUGUAGAAAAAUCAACGCAAUACAAAAACUCAAAUAACAUACUUAGCAAAGUUUCUGGUUCAGCAUUAUUGCAAUCCAUAGUGCAAACUAUGAAACGAUUACCAAUGCAAGAACAUAAUUGGCCGAUAGAUUUAACUGAGGGUCGAAUGUUGCAGGCAUAUUUAACAGAGCGACAUUUGAUGGAUAGCAAAUUAAAACAGCAUUGUCGUAUAAAUAUUAUUAAUAGGGAAAAGAAUAGUGGUUUGCUUACAGAAUCGAUUGUGUCGUCGUUAAAAUAUAAGAAAGUAACUUCUAUGCCACCUUCAAAGAAGUUCGAGCAUGUUUCUGAAACUUUAAAUCAUAUAGAACUGACACAACAUUUACCAUUCAUACAAAGCAAACUUCAAUCCAAUAACUAUCUUUAUAACAAAACUCCUAAUCUUCCUAUCACAGACAGCAGCGAUAAGAAACAGCAAGUACAAUUUAUUGAGAAAAAUAUUGUUGUUACUAAAACUGAACUUAAUUUGGAGUCAUCUUCAAAUGUUCCUUCAUCUGUGAUGUCCAAAGGAUUAGAAAUCUUUGAACCAUCAUCUACAAAAAAUGCAAUCAAUUAUAUAAGUAUGACCGAGGACACACGCAAUGUUUGUAGUAUCUGUAAUAAAGUAUUCAAUAAACCCAGCCAACUUAGACUUCACAUCAACAUACAUUAUUUUGAGCGUCCUUUUAGAUGCGAAAGCUGCGGUACAUCUUUUCGUACGAAAGGUCAUCUUACGAAACAUGAAAGGUCUACCCUUCACCAUAAUAAGGCGCAGCCUGUUGCCCUUGUGAACUUCAUGGAUGUCCUAUUUGGUUCGACGAUGCGGUUUGUCAAUAUGAAUUCAAAUCAUAUAAAUGAUUCACCUGUAGAAAAAACUGGUGCUGUGUUAAAGGAUUCUGUAUUGUACCACUUGCUAUAGUUUAAAUAAUUAUUGCUGUAAUCCAAAUGCAUGUUCCAAGUUGAUGUUUCACUGAUGAUUUAAAAUUCAUUGUGUAUGCUCUGCAGCCCAUCAAAAAAGGAGAUGAAAUAUGUGAGUUUUCUAUGAAGUUCCCAAUCCCCACAGACGCAAUAUUCGUAGGGAAACUUAUAGUUUUAAUUGUCUAGCUUAUGAAAAUAAGUGGCUUAUUUGUUCAAUUAUUAAAACUAGAUGUGAGGAGUUAGUUAGAAAGACGAAAAUGGAAUCUAAAGAAGUUAAAAUUUGGAACAAGUAUCAAAAAUUGAUGGCAAAUAUUGAAAAGAAAAUGCAUUUUAUGAUUUAAAUCUUAUACAUAUACAGUCUAUCUAAAAUAAUUGAAUCUGCGUAACAGAUUAGAUCAACCAGCAGUCACUAUUUAUAAGAUAAUUCAUGCUCUAAUAUUAGUAUUUGAAUCUUUAUAUGUAUAUACGUUAAAAGUGUUCAAUGACUGUUGAACUAUAAAAAAGAUUAUUACAUUUUUUUACAUGAGCAACGUGAUUCUGAUUAAUCACAUAAUUCUUAAUGCCGCACCAUUUGUCUAUUCUGCAAAGUGCCUGAAAAAUAUGAUUAGGAAAACUUUGAAGCGUCCGAAAAAGCGCGAAGCAUUGGCAAUGAAUUCCUUAAUAGUUGAUUACCAAGACAUUCGAAAAUAGUACAAUGAGGCCAUCGCUAUGACGCCACCGAACUCGGAUAUGCUAGCUCUAGCCUAUGGAAACAGAUCUUGUCUACUGUUAACUGAAGCAGGUCGAUGCAAAGGAUAAAGAUGAAAAGUUUCGCAAAAUAGUUAAAAAAGCAAGGUCUGAAUCUGAGAUUGAAGAAGAUGAGUGGUCAAAAAUAAAACCAAUUGAUGUUCAACAUAAGGAUAGAGUUACUAAACGACUUCAAGGUGCCUGGGGUGAUCUAAUCGUUCAAAAAACAACAGUUCUUUAAGAAGCUCACUCAACCUUGGUUUAUUUUUAUUGGACAUUGCAAUUACAAUGCAAUUGUGGUGCAAAGAUACAUGAAAAGUGCGAACAAAGAUUAGAAGAUGCGAAAAGUGAAAGUUAUUAUUAAUACUUCUUAUACAAGAGGAAUCAAUCAUGUAAAAAGUGCAAGACCUUUGGCAAAAGAGCGUAGACAAGAAGUUAAAAAGAGGCUAAUACUUGAGAAAGCUACUAUUUAUAGUCAUAAAGAAACAAACAGAUUAAUGAACGACAGUGGUACUGAUUCACCAUUUUUAAAUUCUACCUUGGUCUACAGUAAAGUUCGCCAAGAAGCCAAAGAUGAAGAGAUGGGAUUACAAGAAUAUCCAGGAAAUGUUAUUACAUCUUUAUCAUUGAUGAUGAGUGCGAUACGAAGUAUUCGGUUACUAUCUAUUAUACCACUUUACGUAUGGUACUGGAGUCAAAAUCAGUUGUCGCUUUGGAAUAAUCCGGCAAAUAUGGAUAUUCCCAUCUCUAUUGAUGCUUCAGGACGAUUUGUUAAAAAAUUGAAUAUUUUUGAUGAUAACAACAGUUCUGCAAUAUUUUUGUACAACAUCACCAUUAGGAUUAAAUCAAAAAUAUAUAGCAUUUGUCAAAUGUUAUCCAGUCGUCAUGAUUUAGCUAAUAUAUUUUCGUGGCUUCAUGGAUGGCUAACAAGUGGAGCAUCAAUACCAAAGCAAGUUGUAGUUGACUGUUUGUUAGCUCUUCUAAAUGGAAUAUGCUUGGCAUUUAACAAAUUCACUUAUAACGAAUCUGGCUCUUCUCGAAGACACUAUAACAGCUAUACUUGAAAUUUGUCAAUCACAAUCUAUUAAUGAAGGUAGUGAGUGUUAUAAGAAAUUUCAGUGGUUAGAAGAAAAAAUUGCAUCAUUUGAUUACAACAGUAAAUACGAAGGUAUAUUGAAAGAUUUAAGUUGUGAAUAUGAAACAUGUAAUCUUAUUAAUGAAACAAAUGACAAAAAUGAUGAUGAUGAUAUCAAGGAUUUCAUCAAUGGAAUCAGAAUGAAGAGUGAAUCUUUAGCAUCAAAUGAUGAAAACUUUUUAUUGCCAAAUAGUUAUUAUCUAUCUAAAUUGAUGGACAAUUUAAUAAAUUUGUUUAGUCAAUUUCCAGCAUGGACAAAUGUGAUGCACAGAUUUUAUGAGUUUGAACCAAAUACGGUUUCCACGACAACUGCAUCAGAAUGCUAUUAUCGAAUCAUGAGAAGGGAAUAUGGUUUUAAUUGCCCAGUAACUUUAAAUCGAUUCAUUUUAUUAUAUCUACCUUUAAUUGAUGGAGCUACAAAACUCGGAAUAGGUGCUUUAAAAAAAAUAAAAACAGAUGAACUUGACACAGAUGUUCAGAUUAAAUCAAAACAAUCAACGAGUGUUGAAGUGUUGGAAAAAGUUUACAAGAGAAUUAUUACAAGAGUUAUUACAAGAGACAGUCAAUAUUAAUAAUAAUAACCUUGAUGAUGAUGCCAAAAGUGUAACACUUUUUGCUAAACUGUUGUUAGACUCAAGACCAUUUAAAUAUGAUAUAAACCUAGCUCUAUAUAAUUACAAUCAAGAGAUGAGUUUUCUUAAAGGAAAAGAUCAUAUUUUAUCAUUAUCUGAAUUUCAAACUUUGAAACCAAAGACGUAUGUAGAUGGAUCAGUAAUCGAUAGUUACAUGAUUGCUAAGUCAAAUACUCAGUGGGAAAAUAGAUAUUUUUUCCAAGUAAUCAAACAAAUUUCAUACUUCGCGCACAGGCUGAUGGAGAACAUCCAAAAACGUGGAAGAUGUAUAACAUCCACUUUGAGUUUCAAGGAAAGAUAUUUAUUCCAUACUGCUAUGGAAAGCAUUGGUGCCUUCUAAUGCUUAAUAUUGAUGACCAAACAAUUGAGCACUUUGAUCCACUAGGCCUUGAUCGAGGAAAUCGAGCCAUUACAGUUUUUCUGGUUUUUUUAAAUCAAUGCAACUCAGAAUAAGAAAAUAAUUUGUGUAAAAUACAAUGGAAAAUCAGAGAAUCAAGUAUCCAGUUUCCAAAACAAAAAGACAGUUAUAAUUGUGGUAUUUUUAUCAUGUAUUAUAUGGAUGUAUUGGCUAAAAACGAAAAACCUUCUUUAUUUUUUGAUCCAGAUAAGUAUCGCUUAGAGAUUACUCAUUUUCUCAUGGUGCAAAUAGAGUCGAUAAAAAAUGUUUGUUUAUAUUGCUACAAAAGAGAGAUAAAGGACAAAGUAACAUGCAAUAAAUGUGAUAGAUGGGCACACAACAAGUGUACAAAAAGAGUUUCUCAAAACUUUCUUCAUGGAAAGUGUGACUUAUGCGCCAUUCUUAACAAUUAAAAUUAUAGAAUGAAUAGAAUACAAUAAUUAUACCAAAGUUUAUUUUUAAAUGGAUACUUAUUCGACAUUAUAUAAAAAUAAAGAUGUAGUUUACUUUUGUUCUUGUAAAAAUGUAUAAUAUUUCAUAAUAAGUUAAUGUAUAUAAGAUAAAACUACUUAUUUGUUCGUCCUCAAUAUAUUCUGCGCACUAUUUGUUUAGUAAUCUCUUAAAAACCAUGUAUUUACCUAUGUUGUUACACCUGUAUUCUUGAAAUAAAUAAAACCGCUUGUGACUAUUAAAAAACA
Molecule: RNA transcript, 7697 nt
Organism: Nasonia vitripennis (jewel wasp)
Lineage: Eukaryota; Metazoa; Arthropoda; Insecta; Hymenoptera; Pteromalidae
Exons: 10
Source: RefSeq, a predicted model, not a curated record